Molecule: ribosomal RNA, 292 nt
Filed under: uncultured bacterium
Lineage: Bacteria
Description: partial 16S ribosomal RNA
Rfam family: Bacterial small subunit ribosomal RNA
Source: RNAcentral
GUGCCAGCCGCCGCGGUAAUACGGGGGGUGCAAGCGUUAUUCGGAAUCAUUGGGCGUAAAGGGCGCGUAGGCGGUUUGACAAGUCAGGUGUGAAAUCCCGGAGCUUAACUCCGGAUGGUCAUUUGAAACUGUCAGACUUGAGUUCGGCAGAGGAAAGCGGAAUUCCUGGUGUAGCGGUGAAAUGCGUAGAUAUCAGGAGGAACAUCAGUGGCGAAGGCGGCUUUCUGGUCCGAUACUGACGCUGAUGCGCGAAGGUGUGGGUAGCAAACGGGAUUAGAUACCCCAGUAGUCC